Molecule: unclassified non-coding RNA, 392 nt
Filed under: soil metagenome
Description: partial contains 5.8S ribosomal RNA, internal transcribed spacer 2, and large subunit ribosomal RNA
Rfam family: 5.8S ribosomal RNA (bases 1-122)
Source: RNAcentral
GAUGAAGAACGUAGCGAAAUGCGAUACUUGGUGUGAAUUGCAGAAUCCCGUGAACCAUCGAGUCUUUGAACGCAAGUUGCGCCCGAAGCCACUAGGCCGAGGGCACGCCUGCCUGGGCGUCACACGCCGUUGCCCCCCCAUCUACUCCUUCGGGAUGGCGGGGGGGCGGAUGAUGGCCUCCCGUGCGCCUAGCCGCGCGGUUGGCAUAAAUACCAAGUCCUCGGCGACGCACGCCACGACAAUCGGUGGUUGCGAAACCUCGGUUGCCCGUCGUGUGCGUUCGUCGCGCAUCGAGGGCUCGAAAAAAUGCUCGGCUCCGGCUGGGCUUUCAACGCGACCCCAGGUCAGGCGGGGUUACCCGCUGAAUUUAAGCAUAUCAAUAAGCGGGAGGA